AGAUUUUCCUACCUGCUUAUACUUGGUAACCGAGGGAAUUUCUAAGACUUCUUGCUCAUUUCUGAGUAUUGUCUUUAUAUCCUGACACUAUGAAUGCUACUUGGAUGCCUCUUAAGGGUCUCUUCUGCAGGGUCCCCAUGAAUUGUGGCUGAAGUUGUGCACAAACAAGUAUCUCCAGUGACAGGAGUGCCUUCUGAGGCAGCCAUUGCAUCUUCAUCUGCUGACACUCUGCUAGGCUGACUUCUGUAGUUUUCACCACUGAUCUUCAGUCCACCUCACAGAGCUCUAUAAAACGCUUAAAUCCUCUUUACAUCAUAGACUUUCAGCUACUUGAAGAUAGCCAUCAGCCGCUACGUGACUCUUUUCUCCAGGAACGAGGGGUCCCUGAGGGAAAGGACUGGGGCUCCUUCAUCUCUAUGAUCCUAGUGCAGUGUCUGAAGGCAUCAGGCCCUUCUCCUUCUGGGGCUGAACCCCGUCUCUGCCUCCCUCCAGGACCAGCACUGCGAGAGCCUGUCCCUGGCCAGCAACAUCUCAGGACUGCAGUGCAACGCAUCCGUGGA
Molecule: small RNA, 560 nt
Filed under: Homo sapiens (human)
Lineage: Eukaryota; Metazoa; Chordata; Mammalia; Primates; Hominidae
Description: LINC02210-CRHR1 readthrough (ENSG00000282456.1)
Source: RNAcentral